GUUUUGGUCCUUGAAUGUGAUUUUAGCUGCGAGUAACGUGUCCUCGCUCCUCUCGGGCUCCCUCGGAGGGUUUUCAGAGAGGUUUCAGUGCAUCCAUUUUCUCAGAUCCUCUUCUUCUUUCCGGGUAAGGAUCUGGGGCCCUGCGGUCGACUUGGAGCGCGUAGGCGGCGGCUCAGGCUCUCGGAGGGGUCUGCGCAGUGGCCGAGGGAGCUCCCGGACGGUGGCGGCGGCAGAUCUCCUGGGCUGGACGCCGUGAGGGGAACAAGCGGAUUUUCCCAGCAAGAUCUCCAUGUACAGCUACAUCUUUAGGGCCGCUCGGGUUAAUAUAUGUCGUCAGAGGCUCCUCACGCCAAUCCCGGGGCGGCGGGGGCGGCGCCUCGCACUCUCCGCAAUAAAACUUUUUGAUGUUCUUGUUGCUAAUUGCCGAGGUCCUUUUCCAGGAUUGGCUGCCCCUUCAUAACCAUAAGAUAAUUAAAACGAGGGGGGGGGCAGGGUUAAAAAAACGUUUUUAUCAGCCAGAGGUUAAUGCAAGUGUUUAACAGAUGCUUCAUUAUUAAAAUAUUUUUCCCCAAGUCUCAAAUAUUGAAGAAUCUCAAACCAGGUACAGUAUCACUCCGCUUUCUUUUCUGGUUGAAAAAAUAAAAGGAACGCAGAUACUGCUUUUCGAAGUGUUUGGUAUGUAACCGAGGCAAGAAAAUCAGCAGGCAGCCGGGUGCAGUUUUGUGCGGGGCCGAGAGCAGAUGAGGUGGGCGGCGAGGGCCCCACAAAGGGGCGGCUGGGCCCAGGCGGGCGCCGGGCGCGGGGCGCGGCGGGGAAGGCUGUUGCUUGGCCCUAGGCACAGGCUGGAAACGCCCGGCUUGGGAUGUCUUCACUUACCCACCACGUUAUCCCGGCCCAGGCCGUUUGGGGUGGCUCAUGUCAUUGUGGUUGCCUUUGGAGAUCACUGUGGAGACCCCAGAGGAAUGGUCAGGCCGAUUGUAAAUCCUCCUAUUUUCAUAUUCUUCAAGGGACACCAGGUCCAACGAAGACCUUGGGCGAUUUCAAAGCGCAGGCACCUCGAUUCCUCGAAUUUGUGGUGUGGCCGGUAUCGGUGUUCCCCUGGUUUAACUAGCCUGUUUGGGGUCUUCCUUCUUCCAGUCUACAACUGCCUUUGA
This 1154-nucleotide long non-coding RNA is filed under the name Rhinolophus ferrumequinum (greater horseshoe bat). Its description in RNAcentral is "lncRNA (ENSRFEG00010005756.1)". Lineage: Eukaryota; Metazoa; Chordata; Mammalia; Chiroptera; Rhinolophidae. The record is from RNAcentral.